CACGUAGGUGGCGAGCGUUAUCCGGAUUUACUGGGCGUAAAGCGUGUGCAGACUGGGUAGCAAGUGGUGUAUGAAAGGGUGAGGCUCAACCUCACGAGGGUAUGCCAGACUGCUGCUCUAGAGUGCGAGAGAGGGAUGUGGAAUUCCGGGUGUAGUGGUGAAAUGCGUAGAGAUCCGGAGGAACCCCAGAGGCGCAAGCGGCGUCCUGGCUCGCAACUGACGUUCAGACACGACAGCAUGGGGAGCAAACGGGAUUAGAAACCCCGGUAGUCCAUGCCGUAAACGAUGCCAACUAGGCGCUGGUGGUGAUAAGCCAUCGGUGCCGCAGCUAACGCGAUAAGUUGGCCGCCUGGGGACUACGGCCGCAAGGCUAAA
This 375-nucleotide ribosomal RNA is filed under the name uncultured bacterium. RNAcentral's name for it is "bacterial SSU rRNA". It matches the Rfam family "Bacterial small subunit ribosomal RNA", at positions 524 to 898 of the family's 1533-position model. The record is from RNAcentral.